CCUUGUGGUCGGUGUACAGGUGGUGCAUGGCUGUCGUCAGCUCGUGUCGUGAGAUGUUGGGUUAAGUCCCGCAACGAGCGCAACCCUUGUCCUGUGUUGCCAGCAUGCCCUUCGGGGUGAUGGGGACUCACGGGAGACUGCCGGGGUCAACUCGGAGGAAGGUGGGGACGACGUCAAGUCAUCAUGCCCCUUAUGUCUUGGGCUGCACACGUGCUACAAUGGCCGGUACAAUGAGCUGCGAUACCGUGAGGUGGAGCGAAUCUCAAAAAGCCGGUCUCAGUUCGGAUUGGGGUCUGCAACUCGACCCCAUGAAGUCGGAGUCUCUAGUAAUCGCAGAUCAGCAGUGCUGCGGUGA
Molecule: ribosomal RNA, 355 nt
Filed under: Streptantibioticus cattleyicolor
Lineage: Bacteria; Bacillati; Actinomycetota; Actinomycetes; Kitasatosporales; Streptomycetaceae
Description: bacterial SSU rRNA
Rfam family: Bacterial small subunit ribosomal RNA
Source: RNAcentral